CCUACGGGCUGCAGCAGUGGGGAAUAUUGCACAAUGGGCGCAAGCCUGAUGCAGCCAUGCCGCGUGUAAGAAGAAGGCCUUCGGGUUGUAAAGCACUUUCAGCGGGGAGGAAGGCGAUAAGGUUAAUAACCUUGUCGAUUGACGUUACCCGCAGACGAAGCACCGGCUAACUCCGUGCCAGCAGCCGCGGUAAUACGGAGGGUGCAAGCGUGAAUCGGAAUUACUGGGCGUAAAGCGCACGCAGGCGGUCUGUCAAGUCGGAUGUGAAAUCCCCGGGCUCAACCUGGGAACUGCAUUCGAAACUGGCAGGGUAGAGUCUUGUAGAGGGGGGUAGAAUUCCAGGUGUAGCGGUGAAAUGCGUAGAGAUCUGGAGGAAUACCGGUGGCGAAGGCGGCCCCCUGGACAAAGACUGACGCUCAGGUGCGAAAGCGUGGGGAGCAAACAGGAUUAGAUACCCCAGUAGUG
Molecule: ribosomal RNA, 465 nt
Filed under: uncultured bacterium
Lineage: Bacteria
Description: bacterial SSU rRNA
Rfam family: Bacterial small subunit ribosomal RNA
Source: RNAcentral